Molecule: small nuclear RNA, 165 nt
Organism: Protopterus annectens (West African lungfish)
Lineage: Eukaryota; Metazoa; Chordata; Ceratodontiformes; Protopteridae
Product: U1 spliceosomal RNA
Exons: 1
Source: RefSeq, a predicted model, not a curated record
AUUCUUAUUUGGCAGGGUGAAUGCCAUGAUCAAGAACGUGGUUUCUCUAGGGUGAGUUUUUUCCCUGCACAAAUUGUAUGGCAUGACGCUUAUGAUUUCCCCAAAUGUGAAAACCACAACUGCAUAAUUUUUCAUAGUGGCUGAUUGCGUUCGCUCAGUCCCUUG